Long non-coding RNA from Haliotis rubra (blacklip abalone), 410 nucleotides. RefSeq lists it as uncharacterized. The record is from RefSeq and is a predicted model, not a curated record. NCBI's taxonomy places the organism in Eukaryota, Metazoa, Mollusca, Gastropoda, Lepetellida, Haliotidae. The transcript is spliced from 3 exons.
ACUUUGGUGGUGUGGUCACUUUCAAUAAGACAUAUUUCUCGACCAUCAACGGUUACUCUAACUUGUUCUUCAUGUGGGGAGGUGAAGAUGAUGACUUGUUUCACAGAUUGUCGAAGAAGAAAAUGCCGUAUGAACACAGCAAAUAUCCUCGUUACACUAAUUUGACGCAUAAGAAAGAUCCCCAUCACACAAGCCAAGAAAUGGCUGUCUAUAGAACAAGCCGUGAACGAUUUGACAAGGACGGUCUCAACAGUAUGGAACGGCUAUAUCGGUUAAUAUCUGUGGAAAAACGUCCUCUAUACACCCGAAUAUAUGUUUCUGUCAAUCAAACGGAAGUACUUACUCGGGUGAAGCAUUUUGGCAUCGAAUUAUGAAUGCUUCAAAAUUUGUAUAUUUUACUGAACAAUAAU